This 228-nucleotide ribosomal RNA is filed under the name uncultured bacterium. RNAcentral's name for it is "partial 16S ribosomal RNA". It matches the Rfam family "Bacterial small subunit ribosomal RNA", at positions 568 to 795 of the family's 1533-position model. The record is from RNAcentral.
UACGUAGGCGGAAAAUUAAGUCAGUAGUGAAAUCCCACAGCUUAACUGUGGAACUGUUAUUGAUACUGGUUUUCUUGAAUAUAGUUGAGGUAGGCGGAAUGUGUAAUGUAGCGGUGAAAUGCUUAGAUAUUACACAGAACACCGAUUGCGAAGGCAGCUUACUAAGCUAUGAUUGACGCUGAGGUACGAAAGCGUGGGGAGCGAACAGGAUUAGAUACCCUGGUAGUC